This 253-nucleotide ribosomal RNA is filed under the name uncultured bacterium. RNAcentral's name for it is "partial 16S ribosomal RNA". It matches the Rfam family "Bacterial small subunit ribosomal RNA", at positions 524 to 776 of the family's 1533-position model. The record is from RNAcentral.
UACAGAGGGGGCAAGCGUUGUUCGGAAUUACUGGGCGUAAAGGGCGCGUAGGCGGCCUGCUAAGUCGAACGUGAAAUCCCUGGGCUCAACCCAGGAACUGCGUCCGAUACUGGUUGGCUUGAAUCCGGGAGAGGGACGUGGAAUUCCAGGUGUAGCGGUGAAAUGCGUAGAUAUCUGGAGGAACACCGGUGGCGAAGGCGGCGUACUGGGUCUUAUCUGACGCUGAGGCACGAAAGCUAGGGGAGCGAACGGG